RNAcentral lists this ribosomal RNA (377 nucleotides) under Odorrana graminea (large odorous frog). RNAcentral's name for it is "partial 12S ribosomal RNA". It matches the Rfam family "Bacterial small subunit ribosomal RNA", at positions 853 to 1400 of the family's 1533-position model. Lineage: Eukaryota; Metazoa; Chordata; Amphibia; Anura; Ranidae. The record is from RNAcentral.
UAACUUACAUCUACAACGCCGGGGAAUUACGAGCUACGCUUAAAACCCAAAGGAUUUGACGGUGUCCCACCCCCCUAGAGGAGCCUGUUCUAUAAUCGAUAAUACCCGCUAUACCCAACCACCUCUCGCUAUUCAGUCUGUAUACCUCCGUCGAAAGCUUACCAUGUGAACGCCUACAGUAAGUACAAUGGCUACCAACGUCAACACGUCAGGUCAAGGUGCAGCUUAAGUGGUGGAAAGUAAUUGGCUACAAUUUCUAACCUAGAACAAACGGAAGGCUAUGUGAAACCAUAGUUCUGAAGGCGGAUUUAGUAGUAAAAAGAAAAUAGAGCGUUCUUUUUAACCCGGCUCUGGGACGCGUACACACCGCCCGUCAC